UGCAUACAUGUCCUUUGAUCCAGAGAGAGUGCGAGAGAGAGAGAGAGAGAGAGAGAGAGAGAGAGAGAGAGAGAGAGAGAGAGAGAGAGAGAGAGAGAGAGGAGAGUUUUAUUAAAGUCAAAAUGCUUCUUAUAAGCAUUUCCCAGAAAUCUUUAGUAUACAUAAAUCUCGAUCAUCAUGCCAAUAAAUUGAUAUCCCCUGACAAUACCAGGGUGAAAAUCGGCAGCAUUUCCAAUUUAGAACAUUAAUAACAGAUAAUCUUUCAAAUAAACAAGUUGUAGUUUAGGAUGUGGAAAAUAUCCUCAGUGAAGGUUUUUGGAAUUGUCAAAACUUUGAAAGUUUCUGGAGUUUCUAAUUCAAAUUGAAUACUUUUAUGCUAAAAAAUACAUUUUGAUCUAUUAUUUGUACAGAAAACAAAUUUUCAACAUAGGUUGAAACAUUAGCUUGAUUCCCUCCCCCUUUCUCCUGAAUUCAACCAGUGAGGGAAAGUAGUUAGUUAAAGCUGGGCAAUCAUUUGUCACUUUAAUUUUCGGUGUUCUAAAAGUGAACUUGUCUGUUGAGCCAAAUUUUGGAAUUUUCAACAUUAAGAGCUAGAACUCAGGAAGUCUGUCAGAAAUCAGAAAUCUCUCUCUCUCUCUCUCUCUCUCUCUCUCUCUCUCUCUCUCUCUCUCUCUCUCUCUCUCUCUCUCUCUCUCUCUCUCUCUGUGUGUGUGUGUGUGUGUGUGUCUGUCCCUCCCCUUCCCUCCUUUACUCCCUCUUCUCUUCCUUUCUCAUUUUGCCUCCUCUAAUAUCCUCUCUUCUUCUUGCCUCUUUUCUUUCUGAUUUUUUCGUCUACCCUUCUUUUCUCCAUCCUAUUUCUUUAUUCUUCUCUCCUUUAAGUUAUACACAGUCCUCUCCCCUCCCCCCUCCACUCUCUCGAGUUUCUUCCUCCUCCCCUUCCUCUUUUCUUUUUUGUCAUCUCUCAAGUGAACUGAAUAGAUCAACCUUGACUUCAUCAGAGAAUCUACAGUUUGGGAGUUAA
RNAcentral lists this long non-coding RNA (1021 nucleotides) under Monodelphis domestica (gray short-tailed opossum). RNAcentral describes it as "lncRNA (ENSMODG00000046468.1)". The record is from RNAcentral. Lineage: Eukaryota; Metazoa; Chordata; Mammalia; Didelphimorphia; Didelphidae.